Nerophis ophidion (straightnose pipefish) is the source of this 247-nucleotide long non-coding RNA. RefSeq lists it as uncharacterized. NCBI's taxonomy places the organism in Eukaryota, Metazoa, Chordata, Actinopteri, Syngnathiformes, Syngnathidae. The record is from RefSeq and is a predicted model, not a curated record. The transcript has 3 exons.
UGACUUCCGGUGUUCGGCCGAAAGCAAGUUGUACAUGUUGCUGUCUUCCGCAAUCAUCUCUGGUGCCAUCCUACACAAAGCAGCGUAGAAGCAAAGCCAUCCUUCCUGAAACACGAGGCGCUGAAGACAAGAAGAAAGAUCGCCUCCUAACUGGAGAAUGAGCUGCCAAUCAAACAGGCCAGGAGGCGUCAUUACUGCCAGUCUACAGAUAAAGAUGUUGACCUUGUUUUGAGGAUACACCGUCGGC